Drosophila pseudoobscura is the source of this 487-nucleotide long non-coding RNA. RefSeq lists it as uncharacterized. The transcript is spliced from 3 exons. Lineage: Eukaryota; Metazoa; Arthropoda; Insecta; Diptera; Drosophilidae. The record is from RefSeq and is a predicted model, not a curated record.
CUCCGGAAAAACGAAUCACAGUCUCAAAAAUUGUGUGAUAUUUUCGUUGGUGCUUCUAUUUUCGAAAAUCUUAAAUAUAAUCGAAGAUUCCGAGUGAUGGCCGAACCGAAUCUUAUCUAUGAGGAUACCUACUCCUCCAGCUCCAAUACUUCGGAAGACUCUGAGUAUUUCAUGGCUGAGGGGUGCUCUCAAAAAGAACAUGAUGAAUCUUCCACAUCCACUGAUUUGAGUUCUUAUAAUGAUCCUUCGGAGGGGUCCAUAAAAGACGAUGGGGCAGCAGACGCCAGGCCAGGAUGUGGAUCAUUCGAUUUUAAAAAUGGCCAAUUAGGCUUCUGGUGCGUUAUUUGCUAAUCUGUACGCUGCGAAAUAAAAACAUGCUGCGGCAUUCCACAUUCCUUUAAGACGACCAAAGGAAUUUUUAAAUAUAAAUUUUUUGUGGGUUUUCAAACAAAUAAAUAUAUUUACUAUUUGUGCAGCAAUUUUCAAA